CUGGACUACGGUGGUUGUAACGGGUACGGGGAAUUAGGGUUCGAUUCCGGAGAGGCAGCCUGAGAAACGGCUACCACUUCCAAGGAAGGCAGCAGGCGCGUAAAUUAUCCAAUCCCAAUUCGGGGAGAUAGUGACAAGAAAUACUGAUGUAGGGCCUUUUGGGUUCUACUAUUGGAAUGAGUACAAUUUAAAACCAUUAGCGAGGAACAAUUGGAGGGCAAGUCUGGUGCCAGCAGCCGCGGUAAUUCCAGCUCCAAGAGUGUAUAUUAAAGUUGUUGCGGUUAAAAAGCUCGUAGUUGGACUUAAGGUGAGGGUGCGGAGUCCCUGGUGACAUUGUUGCUGGGAUAAAGGCUUUGUUACUCUCUCCUAUUUCUAGGGACGCAAAACACUGGGGCAACUCAGUGGUCUCUCAGGAUUUACUUUGAAAAAAUUAGGGUGUUAAAAGCAGGCGAAUCGCCUUGAAUACAUAAGCAUGGGAUAAUGAAAGAUGACCUUUUGGUCUAUACUUUAUUGGUUUCUAAGGCCGAGGUAAUGAUUAACAGGGACAGUUGGGGUCGCUUGUAUUCAGUGGUCAGAGGUGAAAUUCUAGGACCCACUGAGGACAAACAAAUGCGAAGGCACUCGACAAGGAUGUUUUCAUUAAUCAAGAACGAAAGUUGUGGGAUCGAAGAUGAUCAGAUACCGUCGUAGUCGCAACCGUAAACUAUGUUGACUUAGGAUUGGGGGAUGUUAAUAGAUGACUCUCCUAGCACUAUGUGCGAAAGCAUAAGUAUUCGAACUCCGGGGGGAGUAUGGUCGCAAGGCUGAAACUUAAAGGAAUUGACGGAAGGACACCACCAGGAGUGGAACCUGCGGCUUAAUUUGACCCAACACGGGGAAACUCACCCAGUCCGGACAUUACGAGGAUUGACAGAUUGAUAGCUCUUUCUUGAUUUGAUGGAAGCCGGUGCAUGGCCGUUUUUAGUUGGUGGAGUGAUUUGUCUGGUUAAGUCCGAUAACGAACGAGACCUCAAUCUGCUAAAUAGUACCGUUCACAGGGUGAUCUCUGGGUGCAUUGGGCUUCGGUUCGGCGUGUUUGGGGGUUGCCGUUCAGUUGUGGGCGGGAAAGAUACUUCUUAGAGAGACAGUUAACGAGACAUGAUAGUUAAAGGAAGCUUGAGGCAAAAACAGGUCUGUGAUGCCGCUCGAUGCCCGGGGCUGCACGCGCGUUACACUGACAUGCUCAAUGAGUAUUACGAUUUCACCUGGCCCGAUGGGGUUUAGGCAACCUGAAAAAGCAUGUCGUGAUGGGGAUUGUGCCUUGAAACUAUUGCACAUAAACGAGGAAUUCCUAGUAAGGGUAAGUCAUCAACUUGCCCUGAUUACGUCCCUGUCCUUUGUACACACCGCCCGUCGCUUCUACCGAUCGAAUUGCUCGAUGAGAAUUCGGGACGAGGGAGCUUUCUCUGGUCGAAAGGCUGGGGAUGUUUCUUUGGAACCUAUUCGAAUCUCGUAAUUUAGAGGAAGAAGAAGUCGUAACAAGGUA
RNAcentral lists this ribosomal RNA (1525 nucleotides) under metagenome. RNAcentral's name for it is "SSU rRNA". It matches the Rfam family "Eukaryotic small subunit ribosomal RNA", at positions 336 to 1801 of the family's 1831-position model. The record is from RNAcentral.